CCCUUGACAGGCCCCGCAUGUUUUGAAGAGGAACAUAUAUGUGAGAUGCCUUCAGCCAACAUUCCUGGCAACAAAUGGAUAAAUGCCUUUGUCCGGAAAGUUUGAUUUGAGUGGCAUGCCUCAGCUUCUACUACAUUGCUAAAACGUCACAGAAACUACGACAAAUGAAGGACAAGAAUGGUAAGAAUGGUGUGCAGGAACAUGUGAAUACAAAAAGCAACUGUUGCUUUUGAAGAUAUGAAGAUCUAAAUGCUUUCCUUCAAUUGUACAAGAACUAAAGUGAAACCUGAUAUCCAUGAACUGUGUCUUCUAUAUCUACCAACAAGCAAUGAGGCUUAGAGUCCUGAAAUGAUAAAAGUUGACUAACCAAGGCUGCCAGAGCAUUUAUAAGCAGAAGUUUGACGAGCUUUUAUCAUUUGAGUUGAUGCAUUCAAAA
Molecule: long non-coding RNA, 436 nt
Filed under: Sus scrofa (pig)
Lineage: Eukaryota; Metazoa; Chordata; Mammalia; Artiodactyla; Suidae
Description: lncRNA (ENSSSCG00025073772.1)
Source: RNAcentral